This 424-nucleotide ribosomal RNA is filed under the name uncultured bacterium. Its description in RNAcentral is "bacterial SSU rRNA". It matches the Rfam family "Bacterial small subunit ribosomal RNA", at positions 355 to 776 of the family's 1533-position model. The record is from RNAcentral.
UAGGGAAUAUUGGACAAUGGGCGAAAGCCUGAUCCAGCCAUGCCGCGUGAUAGAUGAAGGCCCUCUGGGUUGUAAAUAUCUUUUAUCUGGGAAGAAACUCCUCUAUUCUUAGAGGCCUGACGGUACCAGAGGAAUAAGCACCGGCUAACUCCGUGCCAGCAGCCGCGGUAAUACGGAGGGUGCAAGCGUUAUCCGGAUUCACUGGGUUUAAAGGGUGCGUAGGCGGGCUGAUAAGUCAGUGGUGAAAGCUCCGAGCUUAACUUGGAAACUGCCAUUGAUACUGCCAGUCUUGAAUGUCGUAGAGGUAAGCGGAAUGUUGCAUGUAGCGGUGAAAUGCUUAGAUAUGUUACAGAACACCAAUUGCGAAGGCAGCUUACUAUGCGAUGAUUGACGCUGAGGCACGAAAGCGUGGGGAGCAAACAGG